RNAcentral lists this long non-coding RNA (1123 nucleotides) under Fukomys damarensis (Damara mole-rat). RNAcentral's name for it is "lncRNA (ENSFDAG00000032349.1)". Lineage: Eukaryota; Metazoa; Chordata; Mammalia; Rodentia; Bathyergidae. The record is from RNAcentral.
CUUUCCAGAGCCUUCCAGCCAGCAGCUCCAGGUCCCAGGGCCACGGGAGGGCUGCCAUAGUGAUGCAGUUCCGCUCGCAGCCGCCAGGAGGAGCUCCCCGGAGGGCCCUCACUGGUGUGUGCUGAGCAAACGUUCGGGCCUGAUGUCGGCAACAUGCGGAACCAAUUUUCGGGGAACUCGGCAGCCAAACCAGCCACCUUUGGGCGGGAAGCAGGAUCGCUGUCGGCCCAGGCGCUCCGUGUCUCCCGUUUGGAAAACCGGAGGUCUCCUCGUGGUGGAGGCUACUCACCCAGUGUGUUUUAAGGUGGCCCUGGCCACAUUGAGGUGUUCUAGGAAACAGCCACAACAAGGUCCCAGUCAUCAGCUGCUGUCAACUGCCACACAUGACAGAAAUGAGCCUCUGGUGUAUUCCAGCUACAGUCUGAGGAAGAUCCCAGGCAUCGUGGAGCAGAGGGGGAGAAGCUCCAGCUGUACCCUGUUUGAACUUGUGAACCCACAGAGUUUGUGCCCUGGAUAAUACAUGAUUGCUUUUGGAAAGCUUGUCAUUUUGCCACAGUACUCGGAGCACAGAACUCACAGUUGGGGGAACCAGUUACCAACUCUAGAGUGAAGAUCAGAGCCCCAAAAGGACUUGAUGUGGAUCACACACUCUCAACAAAUGAUGUCAUCACCACAAAGGACCAAAAUUAGCUCUUAGGCAAUGAGAAAUCUGGCCUUUUCAAUGAUUAAGCACAGAUCUAUGUAGGGUACAUGAGCAGAUAUAUAGGAAAUCUAUGGUAUUGAAAUGUCAUGGGAAAUCUAGAAGACAUGUGGGUAAAAUAUCUAAAAAAUGUUUCUUAGGUAUCCAUGGGGAAACGCUGAGCUGGAUGGAGAGAAAGUGUCAUUCUGAGCUGUAUAAGUCUGAGUGCAGCCUGCCUAAGCAAAAGGUCCCAUUCUGACCAGCUGGGUGACCCUGAGCAAGGAGCUUGACUUCUGUGAGUUUCAGUUUCAUCUUUAGUAAAACACAGAUAACAAUGCCUAAUGUUCAGAACAUUGUUAAUGGUCAAAUAAAAUGUUCUUUUUUUUUUUUUUUUUUUUUUUUUUUUUUUUUUCUCUUUUUUUUUUUUUUUUUGUUUUUUUUGAC